GAGUUUGAUCAUGGCUCAGGACAAACGCUGGCGGCGUGCAUAACACAUGCAAGUCGAACGAAAUCUACAUGAUUUAGUGGCGAACGGGUGAGUAACACGUGAGAAACCUGCCUUACACAGAGGGAUAGCCGUUGGAAACGACGAUUAAUACCUCAUGACACCGUGACAUCGCAUGAUGAUGCGGUCAAAGAUUUAUCGGUGUAAGAUGGUCUCGCGCCUGAUUAGCUGGUUGGUGGGGUAACGGCCUACCAAGGCGACGAUCAGUAGCCGAUCUGAGAGGGUGGACGGCCACAUUGGGACUGAGACACGGCCCAAACUCCUACGGGAGGCAGCAGUGGGGAAUUUUGCACAAUGGGGGAAACCCUGAUGCAGCGACGCCGCGUGAACGAAGAAGGCCUUCGGGUUGUAAAGUUCUGUCCUUGGUGAAGAUAAUGACA
RNAcentral lists this ribosomal RNA (437 nucleotides) under Helcococcus sp. canine oral taxon 069. Its description in RNAcentral is "bacterial SSU rRNA". It matches the Rfam family "Bacterial small subunit ribosomal RNA", at positions 9 to 456 of the family's 1533-position model. The record is from RNAcentral. Lineage: Bacteria; Bacillati; Bacillota; Tissierellia; Tissierellales; Peptoniphilaceae.